Molecule: long non-coding RNA, 2119 nt
Organism: Erinaceus europaeus (western European hedgehog)
Lineage: Eukaryota; Metazoa; Chordata; Mammalia; Eulipotyphla; Erinaceidae
Exons: 2
Source: RefSeq, a predicted model, not a curated record
GCAGGUCUGUAGGUGUCUGUCUUUCUCUCCCCCUCUCUGUCUUCCCCUCCUCUCUCCAUUUCUCUCUGUCCUAUCCAACAAUGACAACAACAACGAUGACAAGCAACAAGGGCAACAAAAGGGAAAAAAUAGCCUCCAGGAGCAAUGGAUUCGUGGUACAGGCACUGAGCCCCAGCAAUAACUGUGGAGACAAAAAAAAAAAAGUUUGGAGGCGCUAUAUUUAGAUAAAAAAAGAAAAAAAAAAAAAGAAAAGACAUUAUAUUUAAGAAAAGAAAAAGAAAAAAAGAAAAGACAUUAUAUUUAAGUUUUCAGCUAUUGAGCACCAUGAUAAAAUUAGAGAGAAGGAGCUGGCAGAGAAGUGGAGAGAUGGCAACACAGCAAAUAACAGAAAGGUUUCUGGAGUCGGUGGAAAGAAACUUCACGGGAGUCAGGCUGUAGCGCAGUGGGUUAAGCGCACGUGGCGCGAAGCCCAAGGACCAGCUUAAGGAUCCUGGUUCGAGCCCCUGGCUCCCCACCUGCAGGGGAGUCGCUUCGCAGGCGGUGAAGCAGGUCUGCGGGUGUCUGUCUUUCUCUCCCCUUCUUUGUCUUCUCCUCCUCUCUCCAUUUCUCUCUGUCCUAUCCAACAACAACGAUGACAUCAAUAAUAACUACAACAAUAAAACAACAAGGGCAACAAAAGGGAAUAAAUAAAUAUUAAAAAAAAAGAAGAAAGAAACUUCACUGACCACACGAUGAGAAUGUCAAGAAUCCUGUCUGGCUUACAUCGAACCUGACUCUGGGGCACAACUCAGAGAAGUGAAACCAAUUAGUUCCUCCUAGCCCAAGGGAAUUGAAAGAGGCUGCAGCUCCAGGCGACAAGAACAGACAGAGAGCCCUUGUGCUUAGAAACUGGAAGAAGAAAACAGUAUAAAAUCAGAUGCCUUCAACCGACCCCAGCUAGCCAAACGAACUCCACAGGACACGCUAGUAGCUGAAUGAAGGGGGGAACGUCACAGGGCAGUCAGAGAGGCUGAGUCCAGGAAGGAGGUCUCUGCAGUCGACUGUGGCACCUUUGAGUAGGUAGCCAUUAUUUGCUUGGCUGAGCUUCAUCUGUCUAUCCUGACUGAAUGGCAAGACGUGACGGUUCACCACCCUCGUUUACCCAUUUCAGUGACAGCCGCACAAAAGAAUGAGAGUCUAGCUGUGAACUUUCCUUGUACUGGUGUUGACUGUGCUGAGAGAAGCAUCCUCUAGAACGGCCCAUUUACAGCAGAAGACUCCCAGAAGUGGGACCACUGAGAGAGACAGAGGUUCCAAACCAGAAGACAAAAGGAACGUUUUGCCUGUUUAAUGGACUUCUCAGCUGCCAGGCUAGCGUGAGGGUGUCUUCUUCCCAGGCACGUGCUCUCUGGGUUGGAGAGAACUCAACCAGAGCCAGCCUGGGCUGCUGCUUACUCAGCGAUGCGGGAGAGAGACCAGCAACUCGUGGCAGAGUGGGAACCAAUGUGUCUUUAUUGAUCAGAGACAAUGCUUUUAUAGGAUAGAACCGGAAGUGGCAAGUCAGAAAAGGAAAACGGCUAGGAAAGGGGGUGGAGAAAAGGAAAAAGCAGGCUAAGGUAGAAGCUUCCUUAGCAACUGUUGCGAAGAUUUUAACAGGUGGGAUUAAUGUUACCCUGCAGGCAGGGCGGGUCUCCAGGUAGAAAGAAGAUAGAUGAAUGGAAUUGGGUGGGGAUCUUUCAGGCAAAACAAUGAUUAUUGAUUAUUGUAAAUAGGCCAUAGUAUCAGGAAUUCAGGGGAGCUGGCUGAAUGCCCGAUGCUGAGCUUGAAUUUGGUUAUCAUGAGAAGAAACUUGAAAGACCCGCUUUCUCUAAAUGUAUCAAUAGUUGGGAAAGGAUGAGGAACUUAAAAAAAAGAAAAAAAGAAAAAACACCUCCCAGAAAUCCAGGCCAGAACAGUGACAGCUAAGAAGCACCAUUAAAACCCAGGUGGAAAGAGAAUUCAGAUGCCUGACACUUGGCCUUCAAACUUCUUAAGGAGAAAAACACAUCCAAGACCAGAUGAACACAGAGGGUGAAACAGUGAAAUGUAAUCCCAAGGCCUCUCUUUUCCAAGAACUGACAUUAAAUUCUGUUUGCCUACA